RNAcentral lists this long non-coding RNA (423 nucleotides) under Ananas comosus (pineapple). Its description in RNAcentral is "long non-coding RNA (ACOM_LNC026786)". Lineage: Eukaryota; Viridiplantae; Streptophyta; Magnoliopsida; Poales; Bromeliaceae. The record is from RNAcentral.
UUUCAAAACACAAUAAUGCAAUCUAAGUCUUUUACAUAUAUUUUGAACAUCUAGAGUCACCACAAAUGAUCUAUCUUUCAUACUUGAGGUGCCGAGCUUCCCGAAUGAGUCUUUGAUCUCCAAAUUGAAUCUUCUCUCCAAAACUUCACUUUUAACUCUUCAAGACUCCAUUCGACUUCAUGAAAUUCGCCAACUUAGAAAAUCCUUAACAAUCUCCCUCUUUGUCGAUUUCGUGACAAAACAUAUUACAAUGCUCAUACAAACCUCAAAAAUAGUAAAAAGAAGAUUAUCGCAAUCACCAAACGACAAUCUCCUGCAUGACCGAUCCAAUAAAAAAAAAUUACAUUUUUCUCACAAUCCUAAUACAAACUCUAUGACUUAGACAUGGAGUCUUGAAGUCUUGAAAGUUCCUGCAAAAAUAUU